AACAGUCUAACCUGCCCGCUGACAUAUAGUUGAAGGGCCGCGGUAUUCUGACCGUGCAAAGGUAGCAUAAUCGUUAGUUCCUUAAUUGGGAUCUCGUAUGAAUGGUUGGACAAAGCAAAAGCUGUCUCUGUAGUUAAUAUUGAAUUUAACUUUUAAGUGAAAAGGCUUAAAUACGUUAGGGGGACGAUAAGACCCUAUAAAGCUUUAUAUGUAUUAGCAAGAAAGCUUAAUUUUGAAGUCUAUAAAAGCUUUUUAGCUAACCCGUAUUUUAUUGGGGCGAUAAAAGUAAAAUUAAUAAUAACUGCUUUAACAGUAAACACAAGUAGGUGAAUGGAAAAUUAUAAAUGAUCCUGAAUAAAGAUUAUGAGAUUAAGUUACUUUAGGGAUAACAGCGUUAUUUUUCUUGAGAGUUCUUAUCGAAAGAAAAGCUUGCGACCUCGAUGUUGAAUUAAAAUUUCUCUUCAAUUGUAGCAGUUGAGGAAGAAGGUCUGUUCGACCUUUAAAAUUUU
RNAcentral lists this ribosomal RNA (509 nucleotides) under Pachygrapsus plicatus. Its description in RNAcentral is "partial 16S ribosomal RNA". It matches the Rfam family "Bacterial large subunit ribosomal RNA", at positions 1848 to 2597 of the family's 2925-position model. The record is from RNAcentral. Lineage: Eukaryota; Metazoa; Arthropoda; Malacostraca; Decapoda; Grapsidae.